AAAACAUGUCUUUUUGGUAAUAAUUUAAAGUCUAAUCUGCCCACUGAUUUAAAUUAAAGGGCUGCAGUAUAUUGACUGUACAAAGGUAGCAUAAUCAUUAGUUUUUUAAUUGAAAACUUGUAUGAAGGAUUUGAUGAAAUAUAAACUGUCUCUUAUUUAAAAUUAAAAAUUUAUUUUUUAGUUAAAAAGCUAAAAUAAUUUUAAAAGACGAGAAGACCCUAUAGAGUUUUAUAUUAAAUUAUUUUAUAAUUAUUUAUAUAAUUAAAAAUUAAAAAUGAAUUUAAUAUUUUAUUGGGGUGAUAGAAAAAUUAAAAAAACUUUUUUUAAAUUAUUAACAUAGAUAUAUGAAUAAAUGAUCCAUAAUUAAUGAUUAUAAGAAAAAAUUACCUUAGGGAUAACAGCGUAAUAUUUUUUUUUAGUUCAUAUAAAAAAAAAAGUUUGCGACCUCGAUGUUGGAUUAAGAUAAAAUUUAAAUGCAAAAGUUUAAAAGUUUUGAUCUGUUCGAUCAUUAAAAUCUUACAUGAUCUG
This 528-nucleotide ribosomal RNA is filed under the name Melanitis leda. Its description in RNAcentral is "partial 16S ribosomal RNA". The stretch from base 394 to 528 matches the Rfam family "Archaeal large subunit ribosomal RNA", at positions 2542 to 2676 of the family's 2987-position model. The record is from RNAcentral. Lineage: Eukaryota; Metazoa; Arthropoda; Insecta; Lepidoptera; Nymphalidae.